CAGAAAAUAGUUUAUACAAAACAAAAACUUUGGGAGUUUUAGAUUUAGGUUUCUAAUUUUCUGA
This 64-nucleotide transfer RNA is filed under the name Sinohyriopsis cumingii. RNAcentral describes it as "Hyriopsis cumingii tRNA-Pro". The record is from RNAcentral. Lineage: Eukaryota; Metazoa; Mollusca; Bivalvia; Unionida; Unionidae. RNAcentral also lists the same sequence under 1 other name.